Molecule: small RNA, 148 nt
Filed under: Macaca fascicularis (crab-eating macaque)
Lineage: Eukaryota; Metazoa; Chordata; Mammalia; Primates; Cercopithecidae
Description: Metazoan signal recognition particle RNA (ENSMFAG00000061863.1)
Source: Rfam by way of RNAcentral
GCCAGGCAUGGUGGUGCACGCCUGUGGUCCCAGCUACUUGGGAGGCUGAGGCAGGGGGAUCGUCUGCGCCCAGGAGUUCGAGGCUGCAAUGAGCUAUGUUUGUGCCACUGCACUCCAGCCUGGGCAACAGAGUGAGACUCUGUCUCUA